ACCUGGGUGGCUCAGUUGGUUAAGCAUCUGACUUCGGCUUAGGUCAUGAUCUCGUGGUCUGUGGGUUCAAGCCCCACAUCAGGCU
Molecule: transfer RNA, 85 nt
Filed under: Felis catus (domestic cat)
Lineage: Eukaryota; Metazoa; Chordata; Mammalia; Carnivora; Felidae
Rfam family: tRNA
About the family: Transfer RNA (tRNA) molecules are approximately 80 nucleotides in length. Their secondary structure includes four short double-helical elements and three loops (D, anti-codon, and T loops).
Source: Rfam by way of RNAcentral